GGAGUUUCUCGGAGCUAGCGAAGGGUAGGGAAAGUUCGUCCUUUGAAAAAUGUUGAGAGAUCUUUUCAGGUAAUGACCCAGUUUGCCUUUUGACUCGCUCAAAUCUUUGUCACGGUUGUUCGGCGGUGGAGAUGUGGCUAUUUGGUGAUUGGAGAAUGGUGCUUUAGAGCAAUAGAGAUUUGUGCUUUAUUUUUUUGAGACAUAGAGAAAGGAAAAAAUAAGUGCAUAC
This 229-nucleotide unclassified non-coding RNA is filed under the name Hevea brasiliensis (rubber tree). Lineage: Eukaryota; Viridiplantae; Streptophyta; Magnoliopsida; Malpighiales; Euphorbiaceae. The record is from RNAcentral.